UACGGGGGGGGCAAGCGUUGUUCGGAAUUACUGGGCGUAAAGGGCUCGUAGGUGGCCAACUAAGUCACACGUGAAAUCCCUCGGCUUAACCGGGGAACUGCGUUUGAUACUGGAUGGCUUGAGUUUGGGAGAGGGAUGCGGAAUUCCAGGUGUAGCGGUGAAAUGCGUAGAUAUCUGGAGGAACACCGGUGGCGAAGGCGGCAUCCUGGACCAAUACUGACGCUGAGGAGCGAAAGCUAGGGGAGCAAACGGG
This 253-nucleotide ribosomal RNA is filed under the name uncultured bacterium. RNAcentral's name for it is "partial 16S ribosomal RNA". It matches the Rfam family "Bacterial small subunit ribosomal RNA", at positions 524 to 776 of the family's 1533-position model. The record is from RNAcentral.